This 497-nucleotide ribosomal RNA is filed under the name uncultured bacterium. RNAcentral describes it as "partial 16S ribosomal RNA". It matches the Rfam family "Bacterial small subunit ribosomal RNA", at positions 28 to 507 of the family's 1533-position model. The record is from RNAcentral.
GACGAACGCUGGCGGCGUGCCUAAUACAUGCAAGUUGAGCGCUGACGGUUGGUACUUGUACCAACUGGAUGAGCAGCGAACGGGUGAGUAACGCGUGGGGAAUCUGCCUUUGAGCGGGGGACAACAUUUGGAAACGAAUGCUAAUACCGCAUAAAACCUUUAAACACAAGUUUUAAGUUUGAAAGAUGCAAUUGCAUCACUCAAAGAUGAUCCCGCGUUGUAUUAGCUAGUUGGUGAGGUAAAGGCUCACCAAGGCGAUGAUACAUAGCCGACCUGAGAGGGUGAUCGGCCACAUUGGGACUGAGACACGGCCCAAACUCCUACGGGAGGCAGCAGUAGGGAAUCUUCGGCAAUGGACGAAAGUCUGACCGAGCAACGCCGCGUGAGUGAAGAAGGUUUUCGGAUCGUAAAACUCUGUUGGUAGAGAAGAACGUUGGUGAGAGUGGAAAGCUCAUCAAGUGACGGUAACUACCCAGAAAGGGACGGCUAACUACGUG